Molecule: transfer RNA, 72 nt
Filed under: Camelus bactrianus (Bactrian camel)
Lineage: Eukaryota; Metazoa; Chordata; Mammalia; Artiodactyla; Camelidae
Also listed under: 2 other names
Rfam family: tRNA
About the family: Transfer RNA (tRNA) molecules are approximately 80 nucleotides in length. Their secondary structure includes four short double-helical elements and three loops (D, anti-codon, and T loops).
Source: Rfam by way of RNAcentral
GAGGGUGUAGCUCAGUGGUAGAACAUGUGCUUAGCAUGCAUGAGGUCCUGGGUUCAAUCCCUAGUACCUCCA